Molecule: ribosomal RNA, 437 nt
Filed under: uncultured Glomeromycotina
Lineage: Eukaryota; Fungi; Glomeromycota
Description: SSU rRNA
Rfam family: Eukaryotic small subunit ribosomal RNA
Source: RNAcentral
AGCGUAUAUUAAAGUUGUUGCAGUUAAAAAGCUCGUAGUUGAAUUUCGGGAUCAAUAUGUCGGUCGUGCCUUCGGUACGUACUGGCNUCAUUGGUUUCUCCCUUCUGACAAACCAUGAUGUCAUUAAUUUGGUGUUAUGGGGAGUUAGGACUGUUACUUUGAAAAAAUUAGAGUGUUUAAAGCAGGCAUUAGCUUGAAUACAUUANCAUGGAAUAAUGAAAUAGGACGUUUGACCCUAUUUUGUUGGUUUCUAGGAUCGACGUAAUGAUUAAUAGGGAUAGUUGGGGGCAUUAGUAUUCAAUUGUCANAGGUGAAAUUCUUGGAUUUAUUGAAGACUAACUACUGCGAAAGCAUUUGCCAAGGAUGUUUUCAUUAAUCAAGAACGAAAGUUAGGGGAUCGAAGACGAUCAGAUAUCGUCGUAGUCUUAACCAUAAAC